This 352-nucleotide unclassified non-coding RNA is filed under the name soil metagenome. RNAcentral describes it as "partial contains 5.8S ribosomal RNA, internal transcribed spacer 2, and large subunit ribosomal RNA". The stretch from base 1 to 120 matches the Rfam family "5.8S ribosomal RNA", at positions 35 to 154 of the family's 154-position model. The record is from RNAcentral.
GAUGAAGAACGCAGCGAAAUGCGAUAAGUAAUGUGAAUUGCAGAAUUCAGUGAAUCAUCGAAUCUUUGAACGCACAUUGCGCCCGCCAGUAUUCUGGCGGGCAUGCCUGUUCGAGCGUCAUUACAACCCUCAGGCCCCCGGGCCUGGCGUUGGGGAUCGGCGGAGCCCCCCGUGGGCACACGCCGUCCCCCAAAUGCAGUGGCGGUCCCGCCGCAGCUUCCAUCGCGUAGUAGCUAACAUCUCGCGACUGGAGAGCGGCGCGGCCACGCCGUAAAACACCCAACUCUUCUGAAGUUGACCUCGAAUCAGGUAGGAAUACCCGCUGAACUUAAGCAUAUCAAUAAGCGGAGGA